AGGACGAACGCUGGCGGCGUGCUUAACACAUGCAAGUCGAGCGGAAAGGCCCUUCGGGGUACUCGAGCGGCGAACGGGUGAGUAACACGUGAGCAAUCUGCCCUUAGCUUCGGGAUAGCCCCGGGAAACCGGGAUUAAUACCGAAUAUGACUUCGGCCGACAUCGGCUGCGGUGGAAAGUUUUUCGGCUAGGGAUGAGCUCGCGGCCUAUCAGCUAGUUGGUGGGGUAAUGGCCUACCAAGGCGACGACGGGUAGCCGGCCUGAGAGGGCGACCGGCCACACUGGGACUGAGACACGGCCCAGACUCCUACGGGAGGCAGCAGUGGGGAAUAUUGCGCAAUGGGCGAAAGCCUGACGCAGCGACGCCGCGUGGGGGAUGAAUGCCUUCGGGUUGUAAACCCCUUUCAGCAGGGACGAAGCGAAAGUGACGGUACCUGCAGAAGAAGCGCCGGCUAACUACGUGCCAGCAGCCGC
This 474-nucleotide ribosomal RNA is filed under the name uncultured bacterium. RNAcentral describes it as "SSU rRNA". It matches the Rfam family "Bacterial small subunit ribosomal RNA", at positions 26 to 518 of the family's 1533-position model. The record is from RNAcentral.